AGUGAACGCUGGCGGUAGGCCUAACACAUGCAAGUCGAACGGCAGCACAGAGGAGCUUGCUCCUUGGGUGGCGAGUGGCGGACGGGUGAGGAAUACAUCGGAAUCUACUCUGUCGUGGGGGAUAACGUAGGGAAACUUACGCUAAUACCGCAUACGACCUACGGGUGAAAGCAGGGGACCUUCGGGCCUUGCGCGAUUGAAUGAGCCGAUGUCGGAUUAGCUAGUUGGCGGGGUAAAGGCCCACCAAGGCGACGAUCCGUAGCUGGUCUGAGAGGAUGCUCAGCCACAAUGGAACUGAGACACGGUCCAGGCUCCUACGGGAGGCAGCAGUGGGGAAUAUUGGACAAUGGGCGCAAGCCUGAUCCAGCCAUACCGCGUGGGUGAAGAAGGCCUUCGGGUUGUAAAGCCCUUUCGUUGGGAAAGAAAUCCAGCUGGCUAAUACCCGGUUGGGAUGACGGUACCCAAAGAAUAAGCACCGGCUAACUUCGUGCCAGCAGCCGCGGUAA
Molecule: ribosomal RNA, 506 nt
Filed under: uncultured bacterium
Lineage: Bacteria
Description: partial 16S ribosomal RNA
Rfam family: Bacterial small subunit ribosomal RNA
Source: RNAcentral